UACGUAGGGGGCAAGCGUUUGUCCGGAUUUAUUGGGCGUAAAGAGCGUGUAGGCGGUGAUGUAAGACAGAUGUGAAAUCCCCGGGCUCAACCUGGGAACUGCAUUUGUGACUGCAUCGCUGGAGUGCGGCAGAGGGGGAUGGAAUUCCGCGUGUAGCAGUGAAAUGCGUAGAUAUCGGGAAGAACACCCGUGGCGAAGGCGGCUCUCUGGGACGGUACUGACGCUGAGACGCGAAAGCGUGGGGAGCGAACAGG
RNAcentral lists this ribosomal RNA (254 nucleotides) under uncultured bacterium. RNAcentral's name for it is "partial 16S ribosomal RNA". It matches the Rfam family "Bacterial small subunit ribosomal RNA", at positions 524 to 776 of the family's 1533-position model. The record is from RNAcentral.